GUCAAUAUUAGGCACCUGGUAAUGGUAAAAUGCUAAAUCAGUGACAAGACAAAAAUUCAUUGCUUCAUAUAUUGACACAUUUCAGCAAAAUUUCAAAUAUGAUUGUCAGCUGAAAAUUUAGACAUAAUUCACCAACUGACAGAGUGAGAAGCAAUUCUUUGUGAUGGUUGAAGUUGUGGAAUUAUUUUAGUUAUGACUAUGCUUGUGAAAAUGGAAGUUUAAAAACUCCAGUUAAAAUAAAACUGGUUAAAUCAAUUUUCUAAUCACAUUUCAUUUAGAUGUUUCAUGAACAUAUUCAUGUAUUUGUGGAUAGAGGUAUUAUGAAAGGACCCAGAGAAAGGCAUUUGCAGCCCUAAGGCCAUAUUCAAACAUUCUUUGACUGUUUUGAAAUUCAUUUAUUUCCAUGUUGAAAUAUUGUGAAAAAAAAAAUGAAUAAUUAUUUUCAUCACAACUGAUUCCUUUUUUUCAAAUAUGAUAUCACAAAGUUGGUGAAGUUAUACAUUUUCCUUGAAAAUUGUCAAAAAUGUAGACUUUAUAGAAAUCUUUUCAGAUAGAAAUCAUGGGUUGUCCAAAAUCAUUUUCAUAUAAAAUAUAUGCAACACACUGAUAUGAUGAUUAACGAUCUUACCAAUGCAGGCCGUAGUCCAUAUUUUCUGAACAAAAACUGCUUAGAAUUAUGGUAUUUUUUGGCAUUCUAAAAGAAAUGGCAAGAAAUGUAUGCAUUUGUGACAAAAUUAAUACAAAGUAAAUUCCAAAUUCCUUAUUAAAAUCAUAAUUUGUUUUGUGUACAUAUCCCACAUACUUAACAACUUUAUUGGAAAAAAACAACCUAACAAUCCACAACUUCUAUAAUUAAUGUAGUUCAAGAUUUUAAGCCAGAAAGGGGAUUGUUUUACUUUGUUUUCAAAUUCAUAGAGUAUGAUUGGUGUUCUGUAGAUACUGCACUAGUAUUAUUUUACUUAUAUCUAUAUAUCAUGUCUUUUUAUACCAAUCAGUAUUAUGUUUACUUUGCACUUUACACUUUCAUGUUAUUCAUCAUAUGCAGUAUUUGAUUAUUGUUCAGUAUUUCUGAUUUGUUGCUCACAUAUCAUGCAAGACUUUAAUAAAUUGUUUAAAAUUCA
Ostrea edulis (European flat oyster) is the source of this 1121-nucleotide long non-coding RNA. RefSeq lists it as uncharacterized. The transcript has 2 exons. NCBI's taxonomy places the organism in Eukaryota, Metazoa, Mollusca, Bivalvia, Ostreida, Ostreidae. The record is from RefSeq and is a predicted model, not a curated record.